AUUGAACGCUGGCGGCAGGCCUAACACAUGCAAGUCGAGCGGUAACACAGAGGAGCUUGCUCCUUGGGUGACGAGCGGCGGACGGGUGAGUAACGCCUGGGGAUCUGCCCGAUAGAGGGGGAUAACUACGGGAAACUGUAGCUAAUACCGCAUAAUGUCUACGGACCAAAGUGGGGGCUCUUCGGACCUCAUGCUAUCGGAUGAACCCAGGUGGGAUUAGCUAGUUGGUGAGGUAAUGGCUCACCAAGGCGACGAUCUCUAACUGGUUUGAGAGAAUGACCAGUCACACUGGAACUGAGACACGGUCCAGACUCCUACGGGAGGCAGCAGUGGGGAAUAUUGCACAAUGGGCGCAAGCCUGAUGCAGCCAUGCCGCGUGUGUGAAGAAGGCCUUCGGGUUGUAAAGCACUUUCAGCGGGGAGGAAGGGCUACUAGUUAAUACCUAGUGGCAUUGACGUUACUCGCAGAAGAAGCACCGGCUAACUCCGUGCCAGCAGCCGCGGUAAUACGGAGGGUGCAAGCGUUAAUCGGAAUUACUGGGCGUAAAGCGCACGCAGGCGGUUUGUUAAGUCAGAUGUGAAAUCCCCGAGCUCAACUUGGGAACUGCAUUUGAAACUGGCAAGCUAGAGUCUUGUAGAGGGGGGUAGAAUUCC
This 653-nucleotide ribosomal RNA is filed under the name uncultured prokaryote. RNAcentral's name for it is "bacterial SSU rRNA". It matches the Rfam family "Bacterial small subunit ribosomal RNA", at positions 28 to 670 of the family's 1533-position model. The record is from RNAcentral.